AUUGAACGCUGGCGGCAUGCCUUACACAUGCAAGUCGAACGGCAGCACGGGUGCUUGCACCUGGUGGCGAGUGGCGAACGGGUGAGUAAUACAUCGGAACAUGUCCUGUAGUGGGGGAUAGCCCGGCGAAAGCCGGAUUAAUACCGCAUACGAUCUACGGAUGAAAGCGGGGGACCUUCGGGCCUCGCGCUAUAGGGUUGGCCGAUGGCUGAUUAGCUAGUUGGGGGGGUAAAGGCCUACCAAGGCGACGAUCAGUAGCUGGUCUGAGAGGACGACCAGCCACACUGGGACUGAGACACGGCCCAGACUCCUACGGGAGGCAGCAGUGGGGAAUUUUGGACAAUGGGCGAAAGCCUGAUCCAGCAAUGCCGCGUGUGUGAAGAAGGCCUUCGGGUUGUAAAGCACUUUUGUCCGGAAAGAAAUCCUUGGCUCUAAUACGGUCGGGGGAUGACGGUACCGGAAGAAUAAGCACCGGCUAACUACGUG
RNAcentral lists this ribosomal RNA (486 nucleotides) under uncultured bacterium. Its description in RNAcentral is "partial 16S ribosomal RNA". It matches the Rfam family "Bacterial small subunit ribosomal RNA", at positions 30 to 507 of the family's 1533-position model. The record is from RNAcentral.